Molecule: ribosomal RNA, 468 nt
Filed under: uncultured bacterium
Lineage: Bacteria
Description: partial 16S ribosomal RNA
Rfam family: Bacterial small subunit ribosomal RNA
Source: RNAcentral
GACGAACGCUGGCGGCGUGCUUAACACAUGCGAGUCGAACGGAAAGGCCCUGCUUUUGUGGGGUGCUCGAGUGGCGAACGGGUGAGUAACACGUGAGUAACCUGCCCUUGACUUUGGGAUAACUUCAGGAAACUGGGACUAAUACCGGAUAGGAGCUCCUGCUGCAUGGUGGGGGUUGGAAAGUUUCGGCGGUUGGGGAUGGACUCGCGGCUUAUCAGCUUGUUGGUGGGGUAGUGGCUUACCAAGGCUUUGACGGGUAGCCGGCCUGAGAGGGUGACCGGCCACAUUGGGACUGAGAUACGGCCCAGACUCCUACGGGAGGCAGCAGUGGGGAAUAUUGCACAAUGGGCGGAAGCCUGAUGCAGCAACGCCGCGUGCGGGAUGACGGCCUUCGGGUUGUAAACCGCUUUCGCCUGUGACGAAGCGUGAGUGACGGUAAUGGGUAAAGAAGCACCGGCUAACUACGUG